AGGAAGUGACCACAAUACACUUACGCGUGAACUCGUACUGACCCGCAAGAUCAUUGACCAAUAAGAAAGAUGCAUUGGUCAUAAGUGAAAUUUCUCUGCACGUGAAAACAUGUUAUCUAAUUUCAACAAUUUAUCGUUUAAUUAAGUAGGACACUCUGACCCUUUGACCAGACUAGAGACAUCAUACAUUUACAGUAUUAAUAGCUCGCUCUUUUAUUUAAGUCGGUUAGUAAUAACCAAUUAAAACAGAAUUAUCUUCUCUGCUGUCUUAAAUUAUUUUAUUCCGCUUAAUUUCCAAUUAGCAAAUAAAAUUGGUUUUAAGACAGACAGCUAGAUAUCAUAAACAUACUAUGUAUACACAAGCCAGAGUCUGAGCUUGAUU
Molecule: long non-coding RNA, 382 nt
Filed under: Mytilus galloprovincialis (Mediterranean mussel)
Lineage: Eukaryota; Metazoa; Mollusca; Bivalvia; Mytilida; Mytilidae
Source: RNAcentral